GAUGAACGCUGGCGGCGUGCCUAAUACAUGCAAGUCGAGCGAACGGACGAGAAGCUUGCUGCUCGGUUGUUAGCGGCGCACGGGUGAGUAACACGUGUAUAACCUACCUAUAAGACUGAGAUAACUUCGAGAAACCGGAUCUAAUACCGGAGAAUAUUUUGAACCACAGUGUUCAAAAGUGAAAGACGGUCUUUCCGUCGGUUGUGGAUGGAUCCGCGCUUCAUUAUCUGGUUGGUAGGGUAAUGGCUUACCAAGGCAACGACGGGUAGCCGGCCUGAGAGGGUGACCGGCGACAUUGGGACUGAGAUACGGCCCAGACUCCUACGGGAGGCAGCAGUGGGGAAUAUUGCACAAUGAGCGGAAGCCUGAGGCAGCAACGCCGCGUGCGGGAUGACGGCCUUCGGGUUGUAAACCGCUUUCGCCUGUGACGAAGCGUGAGUGACGGUAAUGGGUAAAGAAGCACCGGCUAACUACGUG
RNAcentral lists this ribosomal RNA (477 nucleotides) under uncultured bacterium. Its description in RNAcentral is "partial 16S ribosomal RNA". It matches the Rfam family "Bacterial small subunit ribosomal RNA", at positions 28 to 507 of the family's 1533-position model. The record is from RNAcentral.